Molecule: long non-coding RNA, 918 nt
Filed under: Homo sapiens (human)
Lineage: Eukaryota; Metazoa; Chordata; Mammalia; Primates; Hominidae
Description: non-protein coding lnc-DUSP11-3:1
Source: RNAcentral
CUGAUCCCACUGGUUCAGAAGAUCUAGGGUACCUGAUGGGUUCUGGAAUUCCUGGUUGGAUGAAGGACUGUAGGCGCAGAGCCUUGAUGCGAGAAGGCAUCAAGACAUCGGGCCAUUAAACAGGUAGGGUAUGGAGAGGACCCAGGGACAGAACUCAAACCUUCCAUCUGGGGCAUCAUCGGGGAAAGAUACUGUUCCACAGUGUUAAAACUCAAAGACCACUGCAAAGUGGGAGAAAAACAGAAUUCUGAGGCUGGAAUAGACAAGGCAGAAGAAUUCAAUGCUGUGCCACAUUCCAGUUAAACAAAUUCUGACCUCACAAAAGGAAAUCAAGAUCUAGGUUCCAAGUGUGAAGAAAAGGCUUCCCUGGGGUUGGUGUGUGCUAGCCAGGAGAUCAGUAUGGUGGGUCUUGUGGGGUGUGAGAACUGGCAAGGGGAACCCCAUCUCAGAUGACAGCACACAGAAACUGGCUUGGAGACCUCCUUCAGGCACAUACCUGCUGCACAAAGAUCACCAGACAGUAGGAGUGGAGACAGGAAAAGACAUUUGCAUCUCAGGGUUGGAGACAGAAGAGGGGGUUGUUUGUUGAUAUUUCCUGCUCUAGCUCUCCUGUUCUUGAACCAAAUUGGAAGAACUCAAGGACUAUGAUGUUGGAUUCACCCAGGGAUCCAUGGAAUCAAAGGUGUUAAUGGGGUUGUCAUGAUGGGCAUCCAUGGACAAGAAACACUCAUGUAUUUAUACCACCAUGGGAGAGGCAGAGACUAACUCUCGGACAGCUCAGAAUUGCUUACAUGAAUCCAGCCCAGUGUGAUGAGGCCCUGCUGAUCCUGUAUGAGGAAAAGUUCUUCUUCGUUCUCUGUGUUGCAGUAAUCAGACCCAGCACUUUGCUUGGGGAUGAGAACAUGGGUAAUGGUAAAU